AUACGGAGGGUGCAAGCGUUAAUCGGAAUUACUGGGCGUAAAGCGUACGUAGGCGGUCCGUUAAGUUAGAUGUGAAAGCCCCGGGCUUAACCUGGGAACUGCAUUUAAAACUGGCGAACUAGAGUUGAGUAGAGGGGAGUGGAAUUUCAGGUGUAGCGGUGAAAUGCGUAGAGAUCUGAAGGAACACCAGUGGCGAAGGCGACUCCCUGGACUCGAACUGACGCUGAGGUACGAAAGCGUGGGUAGCAAACGGGAUUAGAAACCCUGGUAGUCC
RNAcentral lists this ribosomal RNA (274 nucleotides) under uncultured bacterium. RNAcentral's name for it is "partial 16S ribosomal RNA". It matches the Rfam family "Bacterial small subunit ribosomal RNA", at positions 523 to 796 of the family's 1533-position model. The record is from RNAcentral.